AAAACAAUAAACAUAUAUGAUUGUUUCAUGUGAUUCCCAUCCUAAAACCUGUUCCAGACUCUGAGUUGAUGGGUGUGGAGGAGGUUCAGUAAAUGAAGAAGUGAGUUUUGGGUUGUUUUUUCACUGUCACAUCUUUCAUUCAUGUCGUAGAGGAAGCAAAAGAUGGAUUCAGUUCAAGCAGCAGCGGUUUAAACAGAGAAAAUGUUUCACGUUAAAGAUACAAUCAAAAGUAAAAUCCUGCUUGAUUUGGUCUAAACUCAAUAAAGAAAUGAGGCCCAGCUUUGUCUUGUGAUACAGAGGAAAUAAAAGAGAGCAUGUGUUUGAAUGGUCUGGUUUUACAAUCAGCUUUACAGCCAUAAAUGUGCAGCCAAAGAGACAAAGUCAGUCACUCAGUCACUUCCUCCACCAGUAAACAGCCUCAACACUCUGCACAUCAACAGGUCGACAACUGAGUCCAACACAUCAUGGAGACCAGUUCCAGAAGUCUGGAAUCCAUCCUGGAGGCAGCAAUGCUCAGAUCAGCAGGAUACCUGAUAGGAAGCUCCCUGCUGGGCCUCCUCAUCAUCAUCGGGGUCUUCUGGUACCAUCGCAGCAAUCUCAGCCUUUUUAAAAGAUCCUGCAUCAUGACCUUCACCUGCCAGGAAAACAGUCUCAUGGGUGUUCAAGUCGUCUACAACUCUCUGAUGACUCUGCUCAGCAUGGAUGCUGUGAAUCUGAUUGUGGCAAUCAUCUUGGGAGCUGAGAUCGUUGGAAGGCUCUGCGAUGGUGUAAUCAACUGUCUCUCUGUUGAAAUCACAUGGUUCCUGUCCAGAUGGUUUGGAGUGAUUAUUCAUCUUCUGAAUGCCUCGUUGUCCAUCUAUCAUCUGUGUCAUCAGCCACUGAGUGUAAACAGGGUUCGCAUCGCCUACUCAUUGAUUGGUCUAAUGAUUGGCAUUAUAAUUCCACUUUAUCUGUAUGUCACCAAAGCGGCCAUAUUCAUUUUGGCCUCUUUCAUGUUUCUGUUUGCUCUGUCCGUCAUUGUAACAUCUACAGCACCUACUUUGUCCCCGUCCACUUCUGCCCUGAAGAAACUGAUCAUGGUUGUUGCAAUGUGCAACUUCCUGGUUGUCUACGUUCCCACUUUCAUUGCUCAGUGCCUCCUUUGCACUGCAGUCUAUGAUCACGACCUUGUGAAUUAUGAAAUUAUUUAUGCAAAUGUUCAGGUUUUCACAAACUUUCACCUCCUUUUUGAUGGAUUCCUGUGUGCUUUAAUCCUGAAGUUGCCUUCUGGAGAAGAACAGCAACAGCAGCAAGAACAGUGGCAGCAACAACAGCAACAAGAAUUGGGUUUCCCAAAUCCAGGAUACACUGUGUCUACAACUGUAAAUCAAUAAUGAGCAAAAUUAUGUCUCCACACCACAAAUAUCAAUAUGCAUCCUAACCACUGAUAGAUAAUCGAGAAUUGUGUCAUUAUUUUGAAUUAUUCCUGCCUUCAUGAACUGUAUCUGUUGGACAGAAGGAUGCAGCUCCUACUUUAUUCAUGUAAACCCUGAAAUCACAGAUGAAAAUCAGCGUUUCACCCUCUGUGUCUGAUUUAAAAUCCAGCAUAAAGCAAGAAAAAAAUGUGUGAACACUUUCAGAAUGUACUGGCAGUGGAGAGCUGUAUAAAAUGAAGUUGAUGGAAAUAGCAGCAACUUUGAAAACUUUUCAAAAUAAAAUAUCUGUUCAAUAUGUUGGUUUGUUAAUUACUUAAAGGUGGAGGGCACAUCUAAAAUAUGUUGUAGUUCCUACAAUG
Long non-coding RNA from Amphiprion ocellaris (clown anemonefish), 1774 nucleotides. The record is from Ensembl. NCBI's taxonomy places the organism in Eukaryota, Metazoa, Chordata, Actinopteri, Pomacentridae.